This 1804-nucleotide long non-coding RNA is filed under the name Sus scrofa (pig). Its description in RNAcentral is "lncRNA (ENSSSCG00060015433.1)". The record is from RNAcentral. Lineage: Eukaryota; Metazoa; Chordata; Mammalia; Artiodactyla; Suidae.
UUUCAGUAAAGAGCUCAAUUACAUGACCAACAACAAAUGGGUAAUCCUAUUCAUAUCAAGUGAACAAUAGAGUGCUUGUUAUUUAGAAGGUAUUGUGACCGAGCUCCAGGCUUUUGUAACCAGUGGUUUACUUAAGUCUCUCCUCUCUAUGUGUUAAUAUUAUACAUUAUAUAUACUAUGUAUACAUAUUAUGUAUUUAGUAUUCUACUCAGCUAUUCCAUUCAACCUCCAUUGAAGACUGUGUGACUUUAUUACAGAAAUAGAGUUCACAGUAAAGACGACUUGCAUACAAAAGUCCUAUAUUUUUAUUUUACAAUGCUAUUUUCUUUCAGCAAAAUUAAAAAGCUGGCGCUGCCAAGAUCGCCUGCGUUUUGGAACAGGAUGGAAACUAGCCUCCUUUUCAGAUCCCUGGCGUCCUGGUGAUUUGAUUAAGAACACAAGUACCCAGCAAGCAAGAAGCACCUUGAGAGCUGCCCGGGGGACAUUUCAGAGGAAAGCCCCAGGGAAAAGGAGAGGUCUGACAAGAGCAGCCCGCAGGCUACAUCGUGCUGAUGCCGCUCCCUUUUACAGGUGAACUUUCACAGAAAAGCAGUUUUAAGUUCACAGAAGGGGUUCGGAUGACCUUCAGAAGCUGGGCGUCCAGCGUUUCCACUUUGGCCUCGCGUUUUAACAUAGUGUGGCGAGAGCCGACCUCCCCCGACAGACCUGCACUCGGAGGCACAGCGGCUCGCUCCAGCCGCCGGGUCGCGUCCGGGUGCGGAGCUCAGAGCGCCCGGGUCGCGGGCAUCGGGGCGGGUGUGUUGCCGGAGUAGCCUCGGAUUGGCUGCCCUAGGGCCGCCCUACCCGGGCACCGGAUUGGGCGGAGCUGGGCCCUGCUGGCCGAGCUCAUUGGAGGGAGCGGCAGGGGCGGGGCGGGCUGGGUGCCGACCGGGCGCGCGGGCGGCGGAGCGGGCGCCGGGCCGACCCGGCCUGCGGGCGGCGCGAGGUCCUGAAGCCGAGGCGCGCCGGUUGGGGCUACCGUGUCCCGGGCAGUCUCUGCGUCCGCAGAACGGCCACUCCGAGACAGCUUCCGCCAGCGCCCUCCUCUGCAUCCUGCGCCGGCCGCUCCGCCGGCGGGGCCGCGCACGGGCGCCGCGGGCCGGCCAGCUGUCGGGGGCGGCGGGCGGCGCGGGACACAAAGAGCGCGCGAGGGCGGCAGACGCGGGACGGCGCCUUCGGCCGCGCCCGCCGGCCGCUCCAAGGCCGCGGAGACCAUACGGCCCCGGCCCGCUCGCGCACCUCCCGGCCGGAGGGCCGUCGGCCGCCGAGCGGGCACCGGGAGCCGGGAAAAGUUGGCGGCGCGUCCGCCGCGGGGAGGCCCGGGGCCGCGGGGGAGAAAAGACACUUUUUACAGAGCUGGGAGCUCAUAAACGUCUCAAAAGAAAGAUGCUGGAUAAUUGGAAAUAAGAAUUUGAGUUUCCUGGUUUUCUGUGUGUGUACAACCCAUAGGAAAUUCUUCCCAGUAAAUUCCUGUAGCCUUCAGACAUUUUCAAGAGGCAAAGGACCAGUGGAUUGGAUUGGUGACUGCAGCUUUGUCAGCAGCCGUGACUCCAUGUCCCAGGAUGCAGGGCAACCCAUCUGGGGAAGACCCAAGGAGGCAGAGGAUGCCCUUCUAUGCAAACUACGGUGGCAGGACCAGCCUUCCACCUCCCUGGAGGUGAUCUGUGCUCUGGAUGUGCUGACUUGGAGAAGCAGGAAACUCUUCUCAGGAACUAACGACUUUAUUCCUAAAUCCAAUGGAGAUAUUUAUGGUGAGCUGGGAUAA